UCAAUUUCCAUCCACAAUCGUUUGAUAUUCCCUUUCCUUCCCCUAGCCCUUCAUUGUUCGGUUCCCCCUCUCUCAUCUCCAUCUCUCCAGGACUACUACCAUCUCUCCACCGGUGAAUCAUUUUCUCUCUUCGGAUAAAUCACUUCACGGAUCACUUUCUUUUUCUUCAUAGUCAAGAUCUUCAUUGUUGGUCUAGGGUUCACAGAUCUUCUCCAUAGCGUUCAACUUCAAACCUUGCAAAAUUUUAAACCAAAUCAUCUGGUUACGAAAGUGGCUCCUGCUAUGACUUAGGAGGUCAAAGACGCAUUAGUAAAGAACAUUAGAAGAAAGAUGAGUCUUCGUUCUCUAAAGAUUUGAGCGGAUAUUAAGAUAAAAUGCGAUUCAGUUCAAUGGAGUUCUUCACAUUAAGGAGACAAUGCAGAAGGAGAAGCUGCUGGGAGUUAGGAUUGUCCUUAUUCUGCUUGUUGCGGAUCCGAGAAGGGUAGAUAUCAAUCUAUGAAGAGAAGCUUUUGAGUUAUGUUUUAUGAUAGUGAAUUCCUCACCCAAAAGAAGGUUUAGGCCUAUCUUGUAAACAUUUAGAAUUUGGAAUAUGUUUACUUGU
Molecule: long non-coding RNA, 601 nt
Filed under: Helianthus annuus (common sunflower)
Lineage: Eukaryota; Viridiplantae; Streptophyta; Magnoliopsida; Asterales; Asteraceae
Description: sRNA HanXRQr2_Chr15g0715031
Source: RNAcentral